GUGGGGAAUAUUGGACAAUGGGCGAAAGCCUGAUCCAGCCAUGCCGCGUGUGUGAAGAAGGUCUUCGGAUUGUAAAGCACUUUAAGUUGGGAGGAAGGGCAGUAAGUUAAUACCUUGCUGUUUUGACGUUACCGACAGAAUAAGCACCGGCUAACUUCGUGCCAGCAGCCGCGGUAAUACGAAGGGUGCAAGCGUUAAUCGGAAUUACUGGGCGUAAAGCGCGCGUAAGUGGUUUUGUAAGUUGGAGGUGAAAUCACCGGGCUCAACCUGGGAACUGCCUCCAAAACUGCAUGACUAGAGUACGGUAGAGGGUAGUGGAAUUUCCUGUGUAGCGGUGAAAUGCGUAGAUAUAGGAAGGAACACCAGUGGCGAAGGCGACUACCUGGACUGAUACUGACACUGAGGUGCGAAAGCGUGGGGAGCAAACAGGAUUAGAAACCCUGGUAGUCC
RNAcentral lists this ribosomal RNA (450 nucleotides) under uncultured bacterium. Its description in RNAcentral is "partial 16S ribosomal RNA". It matches the Rfam family "Bacterial small subunit ribosomal RNA", at positions 354 to 796 of the family's 1533-position model. The record is from RNAcentral.